UAGAAUUCCACGUGUAGCGGUGAAAUGCGUAGAGAUGUGGAGGAAUACCGGUGGCGAAGGCGGCCUUCUGGACAGAUACUGACGCUGAGAUGCGAAAGCGUGGGGAGCAAACAGGAUUAGAUACCCUGGUAGUCCACGCUGUAAACGAUGUCGAUUUGGAGUUUGUUGCCUAGAGUGAUGGGCUCCGAAGCUAACGCGAUAAAUCGACCGCCUGGGGAGUACGGCCGCAAGGUUAAAACUCAAAUGAAUUGACGGGGGCCCGCACAAGCGGUGGAGCAUGUGGUUUAAUUCGAUGCAACGCGAAGAACCUUACCUGGUCUUGACAUCCACAGAAUCUUGCAGAGAUGCGAGAGUGCCUUCGGGAACUGUGAGACAGGUGCUGCAUGGCUGUCGUCAGCUCGUGUUGUGAAAUGUUGGGUUAAGUCCCGCAACGAGCGCAACCCUUAUCCUUUGUUGCCAGCGAUUCGGUCGGGAACUCAAAGGAGACUGCCGUUGAUAAAGCGGAGGAAGGUGGGGACGACGUCAAGUCAUCAUGGCCCUUACGACCAGGGCUACACACGUGCUACAAUGGCGUAUACAAAGGGAGGCGACCUCGCGAGAGCAAGCGGACCUCAUAAAGUACGUCUAAGUCCGGAUGGGAGUCUGCAACUCGACUCCAUGAAGUCGAAUCGCUAGUAUCGUGAAUCAGAAUGU
RNAcentral lists this ribosomal RNA (693 nucleotides) under uncultured Gilliamella sp. RNAcentral's name for it is "bacterial SSU rRNA". It matches the Rfam family "Bacterial small subunit ribosomal RNA", at positions 662 to 1357 of the family's 1533-position model. The record is from RNAcentral. Lineage: Bacteria; Pseudomonadati; Pseudomonadota; Gammaproteobacteria; Orbales; Orbaceae.